This 523-nucleotide ribosomal RNA is filed under the name Amphora normanii. Its description in RNAcentral is "eukaryotic LSU rRNA". It matches the Rfam family "Eukaryotic large subunit ribosomal RNA", at positions 43 to 651 of the family's 3401-position model. Lineage: Eukaryota; Bacillariophyta; Bacillariophyceae; Surirellales; Surirellaceae. The record is from RNAcentral.
UAAUUAAGCGGAGGAAAAGAAACUAACCAGGAUUGUCUCAGUAAGGGCGACUGAAGCGACAAUAGCUCACCAUGUGAAUCUGCCUUGGCCGAAUUGUGGUCUCACUUGCGUUACGAGCUGGGCCAAGUCCGUUGGAAUACGGCAGCCAAGAGGGUGAGACUCCCGUGUGCCCGGCCCUUGAAGCGAGUGUCGUCGAGUCGAGUUGUUUGGGAUUGCAGCUCUAAGCGGAUGGUAAAUUCCAUCGAAGGCUAAAUACUGGUGGGAGACCGAUAGCGUACAAGUACCGUGAGGGAAAGAUGCAAAGAAGCGCGAAAGCGCUGUUAAAGAGUACCUGAACUUGCUGAAACGGAAGCGAAGGAAACCAGUGCCAGCUGCGUCAUACUUUCCCAUUUGCUUGCGAGUGGGGCGCUGUGGCCAGCGUUGUCAGAACUAGUGGGAGGGUACGGAAGAGCGCGGUGGGAGAUGACCUCCGUUGCAUGCGUGCCAUCUGACUGAGGUUGACGAAAUGGUUUCCUUCUUCCCG